RNAcentral lists this ribosomal RNA (492 nucleotides) under uncultured bacterium. Its description in RNAcentral is "partial 16S ribosomal RNA". It matches the Rfam family "Bacterial small subunit ribosomal RNA", at positions 29 to 507 of the family's 1533-position model. The record is from RNAcentral.
AGUGAACGCUGGCGGUAGGCCUAACACAUGCAAGUCGAACGGCAGCACAGUAAGAGCUUGCUCUUACGGGUGGCGAGUGGCGGACGGGUGAGGUAUACAUCGGAAUCUACUUUUUCGUGGGGGAUAACGUAGGGAAACUUACGCUAAUACCGCAUACGACCUACGGGUGAAAGCAGGGGAUCUUCGGACCUUGCGCGAUUGAAUGAGCCGAUGUCGGAUUAGCUAGUUGGCGGGGUAAAGGCCCACCAAGGCGACGAUCCGUAGCUGGUCUGAGAGGAUGAUCAGCCACACUGGAACGGAGACACGGUCCAGACUCCUACGGGAGGCAGCAGUGGGGAAUAUUGGACAAUGGGCGCAAGCAUGAUCCAGCCAUACCGCGUGGGUGAAGAAGGCCUUCGGGUUGUAAAGCCCUUUUGUUGGGAAAGAAAAGCAGCAGGUUAAUACCCCGCUGUUCUGACGGUACCCAAAGAAUAAGCACCGGCUAACUUCGUG